UGCCUGGCGGCGAUAGCGCGGUGGUCCCACCUGAUUCCAUGCCGAACUCAGCAGUGAAACGCCGUAGCGCCGAUGGUAGUGUGGGGUCUCCCCAUGUGAGAGUAGGACACUGCCAGGCAU
Molecule: ribosomal RNA, 120 nt
Filed under: Serratia symbiotica
Lineage: Bacteria; Pseudomonadati; Pseudomonadota; Gammaproteobacteria; Enterobacterales; Yersiniaceae
Source: RNAcentral